ACUCUGUUUUCGUUGCUUGUUAUAUUUUAGUGAUAAUAAUGUACGAUUUGAAAUUGGUAUUGAUUUUUUUGUUUUGUAGUUUAAAGAAAUUGUAGUUUUGGUUGGAUUUGUUUUUCCACCCGUUACAGUUGAUCAUAAAUCUAAUGUUCGCUGACUUUUGGUAUCAUGAUUUGUGGUCAACCGAUAUUGUAGAGAUGAAAAAUACCUGAAACUGACGCAUUAA
Molecule: unclassified non-coding RNA, 223 nt
Filed under: Hevea brasiliensis (rubber tree)
Lineage: Eukaryota; Viridiplantae; Streptophyta; Magnoliopsida; Malpighiales; Euphorbiaceae
Source: RNAcentral